RNAcentral lists this unclassified non-coding RNA (534 nucleotides) under Hevea brasiliensis (rubber tree). The record is from RNAcentral. Lineage: Eukaryota; Viridiplantae; Streptophyta; Magnoliopsida; Malpighiales; Euphorbiaceae.
AGUCUGAGAGGACAUCUAUGGAAGGCUUUGUACUCUCACAAGUUGCAGAGACACAUACUGAAAUUUUUGUCUCGUCUUCUUCUUCUGCACUUGGUGCAGCAGGUUCUUUAAAACAACUAGCUUUGGUAUCUGCCGAUAAACCUUUCCCAUUGGCAUCAAUGGAGAUAUUAUCUAAAAGCUCCUCAUUCUGUUUCUCUACCUCAAUGUUUCUGGCAGAAGCUUCAUCCAAUGAAAUGCACAAUUUUUGAUGGACUGGCUCAGAUGAUUGGUCAUCAACUUCUGUGGAAGGACCCGAUGAAACAUCUCCUGAAUCAGCGUUUCCUAAACUUGCACCGGAAGGAGAGGAGGGCAUUGAUUUUGUGCUCGAUUCAGGCAGCUUCUUCUCCACAUUGCAUUGGACAGAUGUAGCCUCCUUAGUGGAGAUUUGAAUAUCUGAUCCACAAUCAGCACUUUCUGUUCUAACCAAAGCACUAUCACUUAAAUCGACAGGUGUAGAUGGAGAAUCAGAAGCACCAACACCGUCAUCAACUUUUU